This is a long non-coding RNA of Lolium rigidum, 1590 nucleotides long. RefSeq lists it as uncharacterized. The record is from RefSeq and is a predicted model, not a curated record. The transcript is spliced from 11 exons. Lineage: Eukaryota; Viridiplantae; Streptophyta; Magnoliopsida; Poales; Poaceae.
CGAUCCGCUGCUCCUGGAGACCACUCCGUUCCCGUUGCCGCCGGCCACCUCCCCAACCUGCAGCUGCCCGAUAUCAAGUAAGAAAGUUGGUAAUGAACACUCACAAGGCAGAGUCUCCCCCAUCAACAUCUGAUUGGCAGAACCUCCUGCUCUAGACCCUCGACUGGUUGAGGCCGCCAGUUAGCACGUGAGGGCACUCAUUACCCAGUUUGCAAGCUGGGUACAACUGCAGUUGCAAAAUCAUCUGGCUGAACUUUGGGAUGACGGCAUCAAAGGCGUUUAUCCCAUGCUUCUGAAAUCAUGAAAAGAGGGACAACAAACUCAAGAGGAGGUACAAAAGAGGAAUCUCAGGGUUGAACUUGAGGAGCGUGAACGCAAGCACUUUUCAUCCAAGGAUACGUCCUAUGUUGACGAGAGGGACAAGUGAAAAAGUUCAGGCAUGCUCUUAGAAGGUUCAAACAGGAUGAGGAUAAGAUAGUUCCACGCAAAAUUGUUGCAGAUGGCUGCGACGUGGAGGCCAGAAGUGAUGUUGAAAGGCAUGUUUAAUGCUUGCUCAGUAAUUAAUAAACCAUACUUCUCCAAAAUGUUGAUGAGACUCUGCUCGGUGUUGCAUGGAUGGGAUUAACUACUACAUCUUCUACUGCACUAACAAAUUGCUUCGUGGAUUGGGGCUGAAACUGUUCUUUGUGUGCCAUCUACCAUAAACUUUGGUAUUGGGACCGCCAGCAAGCAGAAGAGGCCAAGAUGAAGGAGGCUGAGCUGAUGCGAGGAAACCCAUUUAUCAGUAUGAAUAACUCAGGAUCCUUCAAUUGGAAGAGAAGGUGGGAUGAUGAUGUUGUAUUCAAGAAUCAGGCUCAUGGAGAGACCAACAAUACAAAACCGUUCAUGAACGACACCAUUAGUCGUGAUUUCCACCGCAAGUUUCUGCAUAGUAUAGCAUUGUUCCUAUCCGUUUGUCUGCUGAAGACUUGUCUAUGCUGCAGCUUAAGAUGGUAGAUGAAAUGAAUGACUAGGAAGGUGAAUCAGCAGCCGAUGGUUGUGGAGAAGAGGAUGAAAAGUCUCGUGGCGAGAGAAGAGCCAUAUCCAAGUAGAAAUUUCUAGAAAACGGGAAAAAGAAGAUUGAGAAGUUGCUCAACUCAAUUUUCUGCAUAUGUCAGUCUUACAUGCUUGGUACACAAGAUAUGACCGAAGCAAAAUACAAGAAGUGGGAGAAGGAACCCGCAUCACAUGUCUGGGAUGAUGAGCCCAUCUGCUGACUUUAUUCGUUUCAUUGAUGGAUCACUAGAGGAGGAAUGUGUGGGCUUUGCAUUGCCCCGUCCGUCGGCGACCUGAGAGAUUCCAGGGAUCAUGGCCCACUAUCGAUUCUAGUUUUCUUGGUUCUAGUUGGAAGGCACACAUUAAAUCUUCUGCAAUAGUUCUUGGUUCUUGACUCUGGGUAAUUAAUUUAGUAUUUUGUGUGUGUUUGUAUCCAUUUUGGAAUACAUUGUUCAAGAUGUACCACAAAUGGCAACCAUGAUCAGUGUAGGAAUUUAGGAAGUAACCGCAUAACUUGGAUUUUAUUUCUUCUCGAGAAGUAGAUCAUUUUAUAUA